This 551-nucleotide ribosomal RNA is filed under the name Mustelus asterias (starry smooth-hound). Its description in RNAcentral is "partial large subunit ribosomal RNA". It matches the Rfam family "Bacterial large subunit ribosomal RNA", at positions 1861 to 2604 of the family's 2925-position model. Lineage: Eukaryota; Metazoa; Chordata; Chondrichthyes; Carcharhiniformes; Triakidae. The record is from RNAcentral.
GCCCUGUGACAAUGUUCAACGGCCGCGGUAUUUUGACCGUGCAAAGGUAGCGUAAUCAUUUGUCUUUUAAAUGAAGACCCGUAUGAAAGGCACCACGAGAGUUUAACUGUCUCUAUUUUCUAAUCAAUGAAAUUGAUCUAUUCGUGCAGAAGCGAAUAUAAUAACAUUAGACGAGAAGACCCUAUGGAGCUUUAAACACUUAAGUUAAUUAUGUAACCAUUUAUUCCUCAGGGUAUAAACAAAAUAUAUAAUACUUCUAACUUAACUGUUUUUGGUUGGGGUGACCGAGGGGGAAAACAAAUCCCCCUCAUCGAUUGAGUACUCAGUACUUGAAAAUCAGAAUAACAAUUCUGAUUAAUAAAAUAUUUAUCGAAAAAUGACCCAGGAUUUCCUGAUCAAUGAACCAAGUUACCCUAGGGAUAACAGCGCAAUCCUUUCUCAGAGUUCCUAUCGAAGAAAGGGUUUACGACCUCGAUGUUGGAUCAGGACAUCCUAAUGGUGCAACUGCUAUUAAGGGUUCGUUUGUUCAACGAUUAAUAGUCCUACGUGAU